Molecule: ribosomal RNA, 1445 nt
Filed under: uncultured prokaryote
Description: partial 16S ribosomal RNA
Rfam family: Bacterial small subunit ribosomal RNA
Source: RNAcentral
AUGAACGCUAGCGGCAGGCCUAAUACAUGCAAGUCGAGGGGUAACAUGAGUACUUGUACUUGAUGACGAGUGGCGCACGGGUGCGUAACGCGUAUGCAACCUACCCUUAACAGGAGGAUAACCCGAAGAAAUUCGGAUUAAUACCCCAUAGUAUCACCAGAUGGCAUCUGAAGGUGAUUAAAGAUUUAUCGGUUAAGGAUGGGCAUGCGUGACAUUAGCUAGUUGGUGAGGUAACGGCUCACCAAGGCAACGAUGUCUAGGGGUUCUGAGAGGAUGAUCCCCCACACUGGUACUGAGAUACGGACCAGACUCCUACGGGAGGCAGCAGUAGGGAAUAUUGGUCAAUGGACGAGAGUCUGACCCAGCCAUGCCGCGUGCAGGAAGACGGCCUUCUGGGUUGUAAACUGCUUCUAUACAGGAACAAAUAGUCCAUGCGUGGAAAGUUGAGAUGGUAUCGUAAGAAUAAGGAUCGGCUAACUCCGUGCCAGCAGCCGCGGUAAUACGGAGGAUCCAAGCGUUAUCCGGAUUUAUUGGGUUUAAAGGGUGCGUAGGCGGAAUAGUAAGUCAGUGGUGAAAGCCCGCAGCUCAACUGCGGAACUGCCAUUGAUACUGCUAAUCUUGAGUACAUUUGAUGUGGGCGGAAUGUGUCAUGUAGCGGUGAAAUGCUUAGAUAUGACAUAGAACACCAAUUGCGAAGGCAGCUCACAAAACUGUAACUGACGCUGAGGCACGAAAGCGUGGGGAGCGAACAGGAUUAGAUACCCUGGUAGUCCACGCCGUAAACGAUGAUUACUCGCUGUCGGGGUUUUUACUUCGGUGGCUAAGCGAAAGUUAUAAGUGAUCCACCUGGGGAGUACGUUCGCAAGGAUGAAACUCAAAGGAAUUGACGGGGGCCCGCACAAGCGGUGGAGCAUGUGGUUUAAUUCGAUGAUACGCGAGGAACCUUACCAAGGCUUGAAAGUUAGUGACCGAUCCUGAAACCAUUUACCCCUUCCGGACACUUUACAAGGUGCUGCAUGGUUGUCGUCAGCUCGUGCCGUGAGGUGUUAGGUUAAGUCCUGCAACGAGCGCAACCCCUAUCAUUAGUUGCCAGCGUUUAAAGACGGGAACUCUAAUGAAACUGCCCGCGCAAGCGGUGAGGAAGGUGGGGAUGACGUCAAGUCAGCACGGCCCUUACGUCCAGGGCUACACACGUACUACAAUGGCGGAUACAAAGGGUUGCUACAUGGUGACAUGAUGCUAAUCUCUAAAGUCCGUCUCAGUUCGGAUUGAAGUCUGCAACUCGACUUCAUGAAGCUGGAUUCGCUAGUAAUCGAAAAUCAGCAAUGUUUCGGUGAAUACGUUCCCGGGCCUUGUACACACCGCCCGUCAAACAAUGGAAGUUGGGAGUAUCUAAAGUCGAUAACCGCAAGGAGUCGCCUAGGGUAAGACCAAUGACUGGGGCU